This 129-nucleotide ribosomal RNA is filed under the name uncultured bacterium. RNAcentral describes it as "partial 16S ribosomal RNA". It matches the Rfam family "Bacterial small subunit ribosomal RNA", at positions 331 to 460 of the family's 1533-position model. The record is from RNAcentral.
CGCCCUUCNUACGGGAGGCAGCAGUGGGGAAUCUUGCGCAAUGGGCGAAAGCCUGACGCAGCCAUGCCGCGUGAAUGAUGAAGGUCUUAGGAUUGUAAAAUUCUUCACCGGGGACGAUAAUGACGUNCC